UGCUGGAGCGAAUAGAAGUGAGCAUGCAGGCAUGAGUAGCGAUAAUUAAUGUGAGAAUCAUUAACGCCGUAAACCCAAGGUUUCCUACGCGAUGCUCGUCAUCGUAGGGUUAGUCGGGUCCUAAGUCGAGUCCGAAAGGGGUAGACGAUGGCAAAUUGGUUAAUAUUCCAAUACCAACAUUAGUGUGCGAUGGAAGGACGCUUAGGGCUAAGGGGGCUAGCGGAUGGAAGUGCUAGUCUAAGGUCGUAGGAGGUUAUACAGGCAAAUCCGUAUAACAAUACUCCGAGAACUGAAAGGCUUUUUGAAGUCUUCGGAUGGAUAGAAGAACCCCUGAUGCCGUCGAGCCAAGAAAAGUUUCUAAGUUUAGCUAAUGUUGCCCGUACCGUAAACCGACACAGGUGGGUGGGAUGAGUAUUCUAAGGCGCGUGGAAGAACUCUCUUUAAGGAACUCUGCAAAAUAGCACCGUAUCUUCGGUAUAAGGUGUGGUUCGCUUCGUAUUAGGAUUUACUCCGAAAGCGAAGAAACUUACAACAAAGAGUCCCUCCCGACUGUUUACCAAAAACACAGCACUCUGCUAACUCGUAAGAGGAUGUAUAGGGUGUGACGCCUGCCCGGUGCUCGAAGGUUAAUUGAUGGGGUUAGCAUUAGCGAAGCUCUUGAUCGAAGCCCGAGUAAACGGCGGCCGUAACUAUAACGGUCCUAAGGUAGCGAAAUUCCUUGUCGGUUAAAUACCGACCUGCAUGAAUGGCGUAACGAGAUGGGAGCUGUCUCAAAGAGGGAUCCAGUGAAAUUGUAGUGGAGGUGAAAAUUCCUCCUACCCGCGGCAAGACGGAAAGACCCCGUGGACCUUUACUACAGCUUGACACUGCUAUUUGGAUAAGAAUGUGCAGGAUAGGUGGGAGGCUUUGAGUAUAUGACGCCAGUUGUAUAUGAGCCAUUGUUGAGAUACCACUCUUUCUUAUUUGGGUAGCUAACCAGCUUGAGUUAUCCUCAAGUGGGACAAUGUCUGGUGGGUAGUUUGACUGGGGCGGUCGCCUCCCAAAUAAUAACGGAGGCUUACAAAGGUUGGCUCAGAACGGUUGGAAAUCGUUCGUAGAGUAUAAAGGUAUAAGCCAGCUUAACUGCAAGACAUACAAGUCAAGCAGAGACGAAAGUCGGUCUUAGUGAUCCGGUGGUUCUGUGUGGAAGGGCCAUCGCUCAAAGGAUAAAAGGUACCCCGGGGAUAACAGGCUGAUCUCCCCCAAGAGCUCACAUCGACGGGGAGGUUUGGCACCUCGAUGUCGGCUCAUCGCAUCCUGGGGCUGGAGCAGGUCCCAAGGGUAUGGCUGUUCGCCAUUUAAAGCGGUACGCGAGCUGGGUUCAGAACGUCGUGAGACAGUUCGGUCCCUAUCUGCCGUGGGCGUAAGAAGAUUGAAGAGAUUUGACCCUAGUACGAGAGGACCGGGUUGAACAAACCACUGGUGUAGCUGUUGUUCUGCCAAGAGCAUCGCAGCGUAGCUAAGUUUGGAAAGGAUAAACGCUGAAAGCAUCUAAGCGUGAAGCCAACUCUAAGAUGAAUCUUCUCUAAGCUCUCUAGAAGACUACUAGUUUGAUAGGCUGGGUGUGUAAUGGAUGAAAGUCCUUUAGCUGACCAGUACUAAUAGAGCGUUUGGCUUAUCUUUAAUAAAGCAU
This 1672-nucleotide ribosomal RNA is filed under the name Campylobacter coli. RNAcentral's name for it is "partial 23S ribosomal RNA". It matches the Rfam family "Bacterial large subunit ribosomal RNA", at positions 1271 to 2925 of the family's 2925-position model. The record is from RNAcentral. Lineage: Bacteria; Pseudomonadati; Campylobacterota; Epsilonproteobacteria; Campylobacterales; Campylobacteraceae.